RNAcentral lists this transfer RNA (73 nucleotides) under Escherichia coli. RNAcentral's name for it is "tRNA-Met". It matches the Rfam family "tRNA". From Rfam's summary of the family: Transfer RNA (tRNA) molecules are approximately 80 nucleotides in length. Their secondary structure includes four short double-helical elements and three loops (D, anti-codon, and T loops). The record is from RNAcentral. Lineage: Bacteria; Pseudomonadati; Pseudomonadota; Gammaproteobacteria; Enterobacterales; Enterobacteriaceae. RNAcentral also lists the same sequence under 7 other names.
GGCCCUUUAGCUCAGUGGUUAGAGCAGGCGACUCAUAAUCGUCCGGUCGCUGGUUCAAGUCCAGCAAGGGCCA